GGAAGAGAACGCGGCGGUGUGACAGAGUUAUUAAUGAUCAGAGUUUAAUAAAAAGAUCAGAUGAUCGGGUUUAAUCUCUGUCAGGAUGCCGCUGUUGACUCGGAAUAAGCGAAUAGAGCGCGUGAGCUCAGCCGCGGAGCUCUUCAGCAAACACCCGCAUCUGAAGGAGUGAACGUUAAAACGGGUCACGUGUUUCCAGCCUCGUUCACCUGUCGAGGACCAGCGGAGGAGCUCCGAUCCGCUCGCACCUUCUCUGGUGCACAGAUGGUUGACGUGUAUGACUCUAGCAGAGAGCUUGUGAAAAUCGACCCGUGCAGAUGGACACCAAACAUGGCCUUCUGGCUGUCCCAAGAUGAUGAAACCAUCCUACAGUAUUUGUCCACGUCUCCACAUGCAGAGCCUCCUCACUUCGUCCAUCACAUCAAAUCCACCAUCCAGUUUCUGCUGGAUCAUCCGACCGCAGACGGGCUGUUUCCGCAUCUGUACCGCCGCGCUGAGGACGGCCGCUGGAAGAGAGCCUAAACACUGACCUCUGACCUCUGUGACCCACUGUAACCAACCAAAGGCCUUUGACGUCUGCUGUUUAAAGCAGAAGCUCCUUUACACUGAUUUCAACUGAAACACGGCGACUGAAGCUCAGAUUGACUGUUUAAAGGGCCACUUCUACUUGAUGGUUUUACUAACACGUGUGUCAUUAACCGCACCUGCCGGCCCUUACAUACAAACAAGAGUCUAUGAACUAUUUGUUUUCAUUUUUAUUUCAUAUUUUUGUUAUGUAUGUCAAUGCAAAUGUGUUCAUGGAUCAUAAGACGUGUCCUUUAUUUUAAACUAAUAGGAUAUGAUGUUGUUUUCUUCCUAACAUCUAGCUGCGUCUUAUUUGCUCACUAAACCGUAAAUACAGUAUGUUGUGAUCCUUUGAGGAGGAGUAAAAUAAUUACAAUUCUGUUGCCGUGGAAACAUGGUGUUUUGUUUAUUCAAACCUUUGUGUGAUCAUAACAAUGAAUGGAAACUUUAAAUAUAUUCCUCUUUAGACUGUUGUCUUAACGAGGAUCUGCUGAUU
This is a long non-coding RNA of Sinocyclocheilus rhinocerous, 1060 nucleotides long. RefSeq lists it as uncharacterized. Lineage: Eukaryota; Metazoa; Chordata; Actinopteri; Cypriniformes; Cyprinidae. The record is from RefSeq and is a predicted model, not a curated record. The transcript is spliced from 4 exons.